RNAcentral lists this ribosomal RNA (440 nucleotides) under uncultured bacterium. RNAcentral's name for it is "partial 16S ribosomal RNA". It matches the Rfam family "Bacterial small subunit ribosomal RNA", at positions 338 to 795 of the family's 1533-position model. The record is from RNAcentral.
CCUACGGGUGGCAGCAGUGGGGAAUAUUGCACAAUGGGGGGAACCCUGAUGCAGCGACGCCGCGUGAGUGAAGAAGUAUUUCGGUACGUAAAGCUCUAUCAGCAGGGAAGAAAAUGACGGUACCUGACUAAGAAGCCCCGGCUAACUACGGGCCAGCAGCCGCGGUAAUACGUAGGGGGCAAGCGUUAUCCGGAUUUACUGGGUGUAAAGGGAGCGUAGACGGCAGCGCAAGUCUGGAGUGAAAUCCCAUGGCUUAACCAUGGAACUGCUUUGGAAACUGGGCAGCUAGAGUGCAGGAGAGGUAAGCGGAAUUCGUAGUGUAGCGGUGAAAUGCGUAGAUAUUAGGAGGAACACCAGUGGCGAAGGCAGCUUACCAAACUAUAUCUGACGUUGAGGCACGAAAGCGUGGGUAGCAAACAGGAUUAGAUACCCUUGUAGUC